RNAcentral lists this small RNA (81 nucleotides) under Mandrillus leucophaeus (drill). RNAcentral describes it as "Y RNA (ENSMLEG00000013463.1)". It matches the Rfam family "Y RNA", at positions 19 to 96 of the family's 96-position model. From Rfam's summary of the family: Y RNAs are components of the Ro ribonucleoprotein particle (Ro RNP), in association with Ro60 and La proteins. The Y RNAs and Ro60 and La proteins are well conserved, but the function of the Ro RNP is not known. Lineage: Eukaryota; Metazoa; Chordata; Mammalia; Primates; Cercopithecidae. The record is from RNAcentral.
GAUUGUUCACAGUCAGUUACAGAUCGAACUCCUUGUUCUACUCUUUCCCCCCUUCUCACUACUGCACUUGACUAGUCUUUU